GUCUACGGCGCUGCCACCCUGAACAAGCCCGAUCCCGUCUGAUCUCGGAAGCUAAGCAGGGUCAGGCCUGGUUAGUACUUGGAGGGGAGACCACCUAGGAAGACAAGGUGCUGUAGGCA
RNAcentral lists this ribosomal RNA (119 nucleotides) under Pteropus alecto (black flying fox). The record is from RNAcentral. Lineage: Eukaryota; Metazoa; Chordata; Mammalia; Chiroptera; Pteropodidae.